Molecule: ribosomal RNA, 234 nt
Filed under: uncultured bacterium
Lineage: Bacteria
Description: partial 16S ribosomal RNA
Rfam family: Bacterial small subunit ribosomal RNA
Source: RNAcentral
UACGUAGGGUGCAAGCGUUGUCCGGAAUUAUUGGGCGUAAAGAGCUCGUAGGCGGUCCGUCACGUCGGCUGUGAAAACCCGGGGCUCAACUCCGGGCCUGCAGUCGAUACGGGCGGACUAGAGUACUGCAGGGGAGACUGGAAUUCCUGGUGUAGCGGUGAAAUGCGCAGAUAUCAGGAGGAACACCGGUGGCGAAGGCGGGGUCUCUGGGCAGUAACUGACGCUGGAGGAGCG